UUUUUUUUUUUUUUGUCUUUUUGUCUUUUCUAGGGCCGCACCUGCAGCAUAUGGAGGUUCCCAGGCUAGGGGUCCAAUCGGAGCUGUAGCUGCCAGCCUACACCACAGCCACAGCAACUCAGGAUCCGAGCCGCAUCUGUGACCCACACCACAGCUCACGACAAUGCCGGAUCCUUAACCCACUGAGUGAGGCCAGGGAUCGAACCUGCAACCUCGUGGUUCCUAGUCGGAUUCGUUAACCACUGAGCCACAAUGGGAACUCCAGGACCACAUCAUUUCUUGACCUGAUGGCUGCAGUGGUCUCCUGGUCUCAGUGUUACUUUCCUCCCAAUCAUCCUCCAAACUGAGACACAAAGAGCUUUCUAAAGAGCACAUCUCACUCACCAAACCCCUUGUAAUCUGUCAAAUUAAAAAUGCGUAAGUGGUUCUCCUUCAAGAUAAGAUCCAAUUCUUUGGCUCCUGCCUACCUUUAAGCUUAGCACCAAGCAAGUUCCUGCCUCCUGGCCACACCGAAUCACUUAGCAGUCUCCCAAAAGCAACAGCUUUUACAUCUGUGCCUUGGCACAUGUUGCCUCUGACUGCUAACUCUUGUCCCAACUUUACUAGGCUGCAAAGACUUUCCCAGAGCCUUCCCAGACACCUAUGGCCUGGAUGUCAUGCCCUUCCCGUGUGUUCAAGGGCAGGAGCCCCCUAUGAACGGUGGACUAUACUGAGACUGCUAUAUUUGCUGAGAUCAAACGGUAGUUAAUAAUCUUUAUACAGAGACUAUAACCAAAUAUAAUCAGCUAGCAUAACAGGCACUCAGUAAACGGAUUUCAAAGAAUGUAGGAUGAAUAAAUAAUUUGGCUUGAAAUUUGCAGCUAGUAUAAUGGCUGUAGCACCUAAAGGAUCUGCGUCAAAUUGCAUUUAAUGAGAACUUGGGAGUAAUAUAUUUCUUGAUGGUUUUAAGUGCUGAUAAAGGGCCAAAGAAUGGAACAGUCUCUAGGCCUUAAUAACGAAGUUAUCAUUUACGCUUAAAAGAGCUCAUGUACCCUCGAAGGCCUUGGCUGCAAAGGCUGUCUUGUUCAUCUCCGCAUACCUGACACGGUAUCAUUCACGGGGUCAGACGAAAGCCUGAUGAAUGAGAGAUUAUAAAGAAACUCACAGAAGCAACUCGAGCCUAUCAAAUUAGCAAUUUCUAAUUUCAUGACUAGCCUAGAUUCAGCUUACCUACAAGCAGUGUUACUGAGGGCAGACUAGGAUUUCCACGAAGUUUUCAGCUGUGGGUAUAAGAAUUAUAGGGAAAGCAAUGGAAAUAAACAUACAAUUCUGGUUCCAAAUUCACCCAGACAUUUAAUAAUGGUGUGAUCAGUGUCCAAACCAAUUAAGCACUCUGCUUAUAAACAUCUUCAUAUGUAAGAUCACACAUGAACUAAACACAUAAGUUCAUGUAUAAGCAUCUUCAUAUAUAAGUAAUAUACCUACUUCACAGGGUUAUUGUGGGAAUCAAAUAAGAUAAUACAUAAACCCAACAGGAUACAAAUACAUUAGUUAUUCCCAUUGUUCACUGUGAAUAAAAAAAUAAAUAUUUUAUGUAUUACUUUAUUAAAACAAGCCCAUGAGGCAAAUAAAACAGGAAUUAAUAUUCCCACUUACAAUUUUUUAAACCAGUACUAGAGAAUCUAAGUGAUUUUCCCAAGACCACUCACUCAUGCAAUUAGUAGGUAGCCAAGUUCUUUAGGGUCAGGUAUAAUGCUGUGAUUCUCUCCUUUUUAUUUUUACUUUUUUGCUUUUUGCUUUUUAGGGCCGUACCUCGGCAUUUGUAGGUUCCAGGCUAGGGGUUCAAAUCAGAUCUUUAGCUGCUGGCCUAUGCCACAGCAAAGGCAGCUUGGGAUCCGAGUCGCAUCUGCAAACUACACCACAGCUGUCAGCAACGCCAGAGCCUUAACCCACUGAUCAAGGCCAGGGAUCGAACCCGCAUCCUCAUGGAUCCUAAUCGGGUUCAUAACUGCUGAGCCACGACGCGAACUCCCUGGGAUGCUCUUAGUGUUUCUUACAAAUCUUACUAGUGCCUAACUAUAAAAGGCCCUACAACCAAAGAAAGAGACUAUAGCUGAGAAAGCAUAGGUCUUUAGGAGAUGAGGGGUUGAUGAACAAAUAAAGCGUUUCAAUUAAUUGCUGUCUGGCAAAAGAAUAACAGUUUUCUUAGUGGACCCAGAAUAACAGUAACUAUAAGAGACAGUAUAAAGUUUUUACAGUCAGGGAAAGGUCCCCAAUGUCAUAAGUUCUGCUUUAACAAGAAAAUUCUAAUAUUAAAAGCUGUUGGGUUGCCAUGGUAACAAUCUAUUUGUAAUCAUGAUGCUGGUGGUAUUCAGUUAUAUUUCUCUCAAGGAAAAGUAAACUAGAUGUAGCCAAGGAAUUUAAUAAAAGUAUCUGCCGGACCAGAAGCCAAGAUAUGACCAUUUUUAGGCAAUACGACAGAAUUUAAAUACACAGCAGGGGACCCUCAGGUUACCAUACCAGUUCCAUCAAUAAAAUUAAAAGAUUUUGACCUUGACACCAAUACAAGGUAUAGCUAUAUUAUCUGGAAAACCCAAUUCUCUGAGCAAGAAAAAUAAAUCAUUAAACAACUGAGAUGACAGCCAAGAAACAAGAAAGUCCGAAUUCAUCAAAAGGAGGACAAAAUCAAUCCUCAAAGGAAAUAUGAAUUGUAAAGACUAAAUUUCUCACAGAAAUCUCCAAGGGUUCAUUUCAGUGUUCCGUUUGUGUGUGUGUGUAGAUGUAUAUAUUGGGAGGUGUAUUUUGAUUUAACCUUCUCCUUUUAUCUAGACAACGUCAGAAGGACAUAUUCAAAAUAAACUGAUACUACACAAAAAGGGAAGGAAGUUACUGGUUUUAAUUAGACCAUUCUGAAGUCUGUACAUGCAGCCUACUUAGGCAGACAGGGACAAUUUCUACACAAUCAGCCAAGCUUCAGCCAUGACUAUGAAAAUCAUAUAAGCUUUUCUAGUACUUACUUCUACAAAAAUCCAAGAUAGGGUAAUAUAUUCCCCACAAUUUGAGCUGUGAACAAAUUGCUUCUUUUCUAUUUGUAAUGAUUUUUCAUAGCAGUAUAUGCAUGCUCAGUGUCAUCAAAGAAACCAGAAUAAAAAUUACGCUCCCUCUAUUUCAACAAUAAACUGGCUUUGUAAGAAAAUAUUGACAUUCAUAAUAGAAGAAAAUUUUUCCUCAUUGGCCAACUUGUUCCCUCACUUAUAUAGUUAAUGCAGACAUAUAUAAAAGUUUUGUUUUGAUAAUUAGUAUAUGUAUCAUUAUAACAUAUAUAACAUCUACUUCUACACAUACGUAUAUUUACAUAUAAAAAUGACUAGUUUGUUUUCUGAAAUACAAUCCUGAAAACAACAUGUAAUCAGAUUUUCCAUAAAGGAAGUCAUGUUUUCCUUCUACUUUCAAUAUAAAAUUAUAUUACUGUUCCCCAAUCUCUCUGAAAAACAUUGGCUAAAGACACUUUUUUACUGAUUUUUUCUAUUUUUUUAAUCUGUAUUUUAUUGAUUUCCUCUCUGAUCUUUUUUUUUUUUUUUUUUUGUCCUUUUUAUGGCCAAACCUGCAGCACAUGGGGGUUCCUGGGCUAGAGGUCAAAUCAGAGCUGCAGCUGCCAGCAUAUGCCACAUCCACAGCAACACCGGAUCUGAGCUGCACCUGCGACUUACACAACAGCUUGAGGCAACACUGGAGCCUUAACCCACUGAGCAAGGCCAGGGAUCGAACUCGCAUCCUCAGAGAGACAGUACUGGUUCUUAACUCCCCGAGCCACAACGGGAACUCCUCCUUUCUGAUCUUUAUUAUUUCCUUGCUUCUGCUGACUUUAGGUUUUGUUUGUUUUGUUUUGUUUUUUCUAAUUCUUUUAGGUGGUAGGUUAGGUUGAUGAUUUGAGAUUUUUCUUCUCUUUUGAGGAAGGCUCCUAUCGCUAUGCACUUCCCUCUAACAACUGCUUUUUCGGCAUCCCAUAGAUUUUGUAUGGUUUUGUUUUCACUGCCAUUUGUCUCAAGGUAUUUUUUAGUUUUCUUUUUUGAUGUCCUUGUUGACCAACUGGUGUUUUAAUAACAUGUUGUUCGGUCUCCAUGUAGUCAAUUUUUUUCUCAUUUCUUUUCCUGUGGUUGAUUUCUAGUUUCAUGUCAUUGUGGUCAGAGAAGAAGCUUGAAAAAAUUUCUAUAUUCUUAAAUUUGCUGAGGUGAGUUUUGUGCCCCAGUAUGUGGUCAAUCCUAGACAAUGUUCCAUGUGCACUUAAAAGAAUGUAUAUUCUGGUUUUCUUAGAUGUAAUGUCCUGAAAAUAUCAAUUAAGCCUAACUGUUCUGUUGUGUCAUUCAGAAUCUGUUGCCUUAUUGAUUUUCUGUCUAGAGGGUCUGUCCAUUGAUGCGGAUGGGGUGUUAAAGCCUCCUACUAUUAUUGUAUUCCCAUCAAUUUCUCCUUUUACGUCUGUUAGUAUUUGUUGUGUCUUUGGGUGCUCCUAUAUUAGAGGCAUAUAUAUUGAUGAGUAUAAUAUCCUCUUCUUAAAUUGAUUCUUCUCUAAAGACAGUCUUUUAAAAUCACAGAUAAGAUCACAAAAAAACUUUAUAAAAUCUACUCUCUUAAAUUUUAUUAAAUUCAGACAAAAUACUUACAACUUAGCAUCUAUAGCGAGCACAAACUACAUACUUUUGCUUACUGUUCGUAAAGAUUAUGGAGAUGCUAAAUUCAAAGAUUUCUAGGCUGAGGAACUUAAAUGGAAGAUAACAACAUUAAAUGGCAUAGGAACUAUAUGAGUGAGUACAAAUGUGAGGGAGACUGCUAGAUAAGGAGCUCCUGUCGUGGCUCAGUGGUUAACGAAUCCAACUAGGAACCAUGAGGUUGUGGGUUUGAUCCCCGACCUUGCUCAGUGGGUUAAGGAUCCGGCAUUGCCGUGAGCUGUGACUUAGGUUGCAGACUCGGCUCAGAUCCCCGCUGCUGUGGCUGUGGCGAAGGCCGAUGGCUACAGCUUUGAUUAGCCUGGGAACCUCCAUAUGCCGCGGGUACAGCCCUAGAAAAAGACGGAAAAAAAAAAAAAGAAAGAAAGAAAGAAAAGAAACGGCUAAAUAAGCAAUAAGCCUCCAUGUUUCAAAAAGAUUGGAUAAUGAGCUGGGAAUAUGUGAUAAAGAGUUGGAAGUUGGAUAUACUGGGUUGGAACUCUGUAGGACUGUCUGCAAUAGAUUCAGAGAUUCACUCACUGGUGAAUAAGCAAUAACUAAAUCUACAAAAGAGGAUGGCAUCUCUGAGGGAAGACUUGUGAGAAAGAGUAAUAAAGAGAACAAGGAUUGGAGCUCCCACAGUGGCAUAGUGGGUUAAGAAUCUAAUUGCAGCAGCGGUGGCCACCACAGAGGCACAGGUUCUGCCCCCAGCCCAGUGCAGUGGGCUAAGGAUCCAGCAUUGCUGUAGGUCACAGCAGUGGCUUGGAUUCAAUCCAUGACCUGGGGACUUCCAUAUGCUGCAGGUGUGGCAAAAGAAAAAGGAGAGAGAGAGAGAGAAACUAGAAUAAACCUUGAGGGAGCCCAAAUAUUUAUAAAGGUCAGAAUUUAAAACAAAAAAGGCGGCAGAAGUAUCUUGAAAGUCAUGAACGGAGGGUUUCAAGAAGAGGACAAUCAACAAAACACAGAAGCAGAAGAGGCAUACUGGAAUCUACAUUUAGAAUGUGACUUGGGGAGUUCCCGUUGUGGCGCAGCAGAAACAAAUCCAACUAGGAACCAUGAGGUUGUGGGUUCGAUCCCUGGCCUCACUCAGUGGGUUGAGGAUCCAGCAUUGCCGUGAGCUGUAGUGUAGGCUGCAGAGACGCGGCUCGGAUCUGGUGUGGCUGUGGCAUAAGCCGGCAGCUGUACCUCUGAUUGGACCCCUAGCCUGGAAACUUCCACAUGCUGCUAGUGCAGCCUUAAAAAUAAAAAAAAAAAUAAAAAAUAAAAUAAAAGAAUGUGACUUGGUAUAUCAGUGAAAUUAUUUUCAAUACAAUAGUUGAGGCAGAAUCUAGCCUACAAAGGGUGAAUUAAUGAGAAAGGGAAACAACGCAUCCAACAUUGCUAUGUUCGAUGCUCUGAAUAAUACAAUCAGAACCCUUAACAACUACAAGUGUUUCAGAAUGACAUAAUAACCACUCUUAUGUGAAAGAAACAAUAGCAGGAUUGUUUUCAAGGCGAAAACGUGAAAUUACUGACUUGUAUUAAGUAGCAGCAACUCAUCCUUUUUUUUUUUCUGAAAUGCUAGCAAUAUAAAUACAUUUCUUGGCAAAAGUAAGAUUAUUUUCUCAUGCAUCAAAUGUCAAAAUUUUGUUGAUUUUUUUUCUGAUAGUUAAAUACCAUAGAUCCACUGCAUCAGUUAAAGGAUACUAUGAAUCUAUCUGGGAUUAGUAAUAUUAUAAUUAAAUUAAAAGAGUUUUCCUUCCAAGACGUGUUCUCGUCAUUCAUCCUUGUCUCACAGGGCAACAUUCUUCAUGUUUUAAAGGGAGACAGCUUUACAUUUUGGUUCCUGUUAACAGGAU
RNAcentral lists this long non-coding RNA (6520 nucleotides) under Sus scrofa (pig). Its description in RNAcentral is "lncRNA (ENSSSCG00015012713.1)". Lineage: Eukaryota; Metazoa; Chordata; Mammalia; Artiodactyla; Suidae. The record is from RNAcentral.